AGAGUUUGAUCCUGGCUCAGGACGAACGCUGGCGGCGUGCCUAAUACAUGCAAGUAGAACGCUGAAGGAGGAGCUUGCUUCUCUGGAUGAGUUGCGAACGGGUGAGUAACGCGUAGGUAACCUGCCUGGUAGCGGGGGAUAACUAUUGGAAACGAUAGCUAAUACCGCAUAAGAGUAGAUGUUGCAUGACAUUUGCUUAAAAGGUGCACUUGCAUCACUACCAGAUGGACCUGCGUUGUAUUAGCUAGUUGGUGGGGUAACGGCUCACCAAGGCGACGAUACAUAGCCGACCUGAGAGGGUGAUCGGCCACACUGGGACUGAGACACGGCCCAGACUCCUACGGGAGGCAGCAGUAGGGAAUCUUCGGCAAUGGACGGAAGUCUGACCGAGCAACGCCGCGUGAGUGAAGAAGGUUUUCGGAUCGUAAAGCUCUGUUGUAAGAGAAGAACGAGUGUGAGAGUGGAAAGUUCACACUGUGACGGUAUCUUACCAGAAAGGGACGGCUAACUACGUGCCAGCAGCCGCGGUAAUACGUAGGUCCCGAGCGUUGUCCGGAUUUAUUGGGCGUAAAGCGAGCGCAGGCGGUUAGAUAAGUCUGAAGUUAAAGGCUGUGGCUUAACCAUAGUAGGCUUUUGAAACUGUUUAACUUGAGUGCAAGAGGGGAGAGUGGAAUUCCAUGUGUAGCGGUGAAAUGCGUAGAUAUAUGGAGGAACACCGGUGGCGAAAGCGGCUCUCUGGCUUGUAACUGACGCUGAGGCUCGAAAGCGUGGGGGGCAAAAAGGAUUAGAUACCCUGGUAGUCCACGCUGUAAACGAUGAGUGCUGGGUGUUAGACCCUUUCCGGGGUUUAGUGCCGUAGCUAACGCAUUAAGCACUCCGCCUGGGGAGUACGACCGCAAGGUUGAAACUCAAAGGAAUUGACGGGGGCCCGCACAAGCGGUGGAGCAUGUGGUUUAAUUCGAAGCAACGCGAAGAACCUUACCAGGUCUUGACAUCCCUCUGACCGCUCUAGAGAUAGAGCUUUCCUUCGGGACAGAGGUGACAGGUGGUGCAUGGUUGUCGUCAGCUCGUGUCGUGAGAUGUUGGGUUAAGUCCCGCAACGAGCGCAACCCCUAUUGUUAGUUGCCAUCAUUUAUUUGGGCACUCUAGCGAGACUGCCGGUAAUAAACCGGAGGAAGGUGGGGAUGACGUCAAAUCAUCAUGCCCCUUAUGACCUGGGCUACACACGUGCUACAAUGGCUGGUACAACGAGUCGCAAGCCGGUGACGGCAAGCUAAUCUCUUAAAGCCAGUCUCAGUUCGGAUUGUAGGCUGCAACUCGCCUACAUGAAGUCGGAAUCGCUAGUAAUCGCGGAUCAGCACGCCGCGGUGAAUACGUUCCCGGGCCUUGUACACCCCGCCCGUCACACCACGAGAGUUUGUAACACCCGAAGUCGGUGGGGUAACCGUAAGGAGCCAGCCGCCUAAGGUGGGAUAGAUGAUUGGGGUGAAGUCGUAACAAGGUAGCCGUAUCGGAAGGUGCGGCUGGAUCACCU
This 1534-nucleotide ribosomal RNA is filed under the name Streptococcus pneumoniae. Its description in RNAcentral is "bacterial SSU rRNA". It matches the Rfam family "Bacterial small subunit ribosomal RNA". Lineage: Bacteria; Bacillati; Bacillota; Bacilli; Lactobacillales; Streptococcaceae. The record is from RNAcentral.